RNAcentral lists this ribosomal RNA (1435 nucleotides) under uncultured organism. RNAcentral's name for it is "SSU rRNA". It matches the Rfam family "Bacterial small subunit ribosomal RNA". The record is from RNAcentral.
GGCUUAACACAUGCAAGUCGAGGGGCAGCGGGGGUAUCAAUACCCGCCGGCGACCGGCGCACGGGUGAGUAACGCGUAUGCAACUUACCUAUCAGAGGGGGAUAACCCGGCGAAAGUCGGACUAAUACCGCAUGAAGCAGGGGCCCCGCAUGGGGAUAUUUGCUAAAGAUUCAUCGCUGAUAGAUAGGCAUGCGUUCCAUUAGGCAGUUGGCGGGGUAACGGCCCACCAAACCGACGAUGGAUAGGGGUUCUGAGAGGAAGGUCCCCCACAUUGGUACUGAGACACGGACCAAACUCCUACGGGAGGCAGCAGUGAGGAAUAUUGGUCAAUGGCCGAGAGGCUGAACCAGCCAAGUCGCGUGAGGGAUGAAGGUUCUAUGGAUCGUAAACCUCUUUUAUAAGGGAAUAAAGUGCGGGACGUGUCCCGUUUUGUAUGUACCUUAUGAAUAAGGAUCGGCUAACUCCGUGCCAGCAGCCGCGGUAAUACGGAGGAUCCGAGCGUUAUCCGGAUUUAUUGGGUUUAAAGGGUGCGUAGGCGGCCUUUUAAGUCAGCGGUGAAAGUCUGUGGCUCAACCAUAGAAUUGCCGUUGAAACUGGGGGGCUUGAGUAUGUUUGAGGCAGGCGGAAUGCGUGGUGUAGCGGUGAAAUGCAUAGAUAUCACGCAGAACCCCGAUUGCGAAGGCAGCCUGCCAAGCCAUUACUGACGCUGAUGCACGAAAGCGUGGGGAUCAAACAGGAUUAGAUACCCUGGUAGUCCACGCAGUAAACGAUGAUCACUAGCUGUUUGCGAUACACUGUAAGCGGCACAGCGAAAGCGUUAAGUGAUCCACCUGGGGAGUACGCCGGCAACGGUGAAACUCAAAGGAAUUGACGGGGGCCCGCACAAGCGGAGGAACAUGUGGUUUAAUUCGAUGAUACGCGAGGAACCUUACCCGGGUUUGAACGCAUUCGGACCGAGGUGGAAACACCUUUUCUAGCAAUAGCCGUUUGCGAGGUGCUGCAUGGUUGUCGUCAGCUCGUGCCGUGAGGUGUCGGCUUAAGUGCCAUAACGAGCGCAACCCUUGCCACUAGUUACUAACAGGUAAAGCUGAGGACUCUGGUGGGACUGCCAGCGUAAGCUGCGAGGAAGGCGGGGAUGACGUCAAAUCAGCACGGCCCUUACAUCCGGGGCGGCACACGUGUUACAAUGGCGUGGACAAAGGGAGGCCACCUGGCGACAGGGAGCGAAUCCCCAAACCACAUCUCAGUUCGGAUCGGAGUCUGCAACCCGACUCCGUGAAGCUGGAUUCGCUAGUAAUCGCGCAUCAGCCAUGGCGCGGUGAAUACGUUCCCGGGCCUUGUACACACCGCCCGUCAAGCCAUGGGAGCCGGGGGUACCUGAGGUCCGUAACCGAAAGGAUCGGCCUAGGGUAAAACUGGUGACUGGGGCUAAGAC